RNAcentral lists this ribosomal RNA (245 nucleotides) under Salmonella enterica. Its description in RNAcentral is "partial 23S ribosomal RNA". It matches the Rfam family "Bacterial large subunit ribosomal RNA", at positions 2703 to 2925 of the family's 2925-position model. Lineage: Bacteria; Pseudomonadati; Pseudomonadota; Gammaproteobacteria; Enterobacterales; Enterobacteriaceae. The record is from RNAcentral.
GCAUCACUGGUGUUCGGGUUGUCAUGCCAAUGGCACUGCCCGGUAGCUAAAUGCGGAAGAGAUAAGUGCUGAAAGCAUCUAAGCACGAAACUUGCCCCGAGAUGAGUUCUCCCUGAGACUUAGAGUCUCCUGAAGGAACGUUGAAGACGACGACGUUGAUAGGCCGGGUGUGUAAGCGCAGCGAUGCGUUGAGCUAACCGGUACUAAUGAACCGUGAGGCUUAACCUUACAACGCCGAAGCUGUU